AAUCAACGCUGGCGGCGUGCCUCAGACAUGCAAGUCGAACGCGAAAGCCCUUCGGGGUGAGUAGAGUGGCGCACGGGUGAGUAACACGUAGGUAAUCUACCUUUGGGUGGGGAAUAACGACCGGAAACGGUCGCUAAUACCGCAUAAUGCAGCGGCACCACAUGGUGACAGUUGUUAAAGACGGGGGAGUCGUAAGACCUCGCGCCUGGAGAUGAGCCUGCGGCGGAUUAGCUAGUUGGCAGGGUAACGGCCUACCAAGGCGACGAUCCGUAGCCGGCCUGAGAGGGCGGACGGCCACACUGGCACUGACAUACGGGCC
This 319-nucleotide ribosomal RNA is filed under the name uncultured bacterium. Its description in RNAcentral is "bacterial SSU rRNA". It matches the Rfam family "Bacterial small subunit ribosomal RNA", at positions 32 to 332 of the family's 1533-position model. The record is from RNAcentral.